Physeter macrocephalus (sperm whale) is the source of this 4264-nucleotide long non-coding RNA. RefSeq lists it as uncharacterized. The transcript is spliced from 4 exons. The record is from RefSeq and is a predicted model, not a curated record. Lineage: Eukaryota; Metazoa; Chordata; Mammalia; Artiodactyla; Physeteridae.
GCACGCGCCGGGUGGGUUUUGCGGUCCAGGAGGAAAGAGGCACAGCGCCCGGUCUGCUAGGAACGCGUUGGCGGCGCACAGCACCCGAAGCGGAGAGAUGCCGGGCUGCUGGGCGGGGAUCCAGAGGUUCCCAGCGUCGUCUGGGGCGGGCCAUCCCCAGGGCAGCGCGGAGAGGACAGGGUCUGAGGCCUUGUGUCCACCGCUCUGAGCACGUGGGACGAGGCAUGAAAACAAGUCAGCCCUGAACGUGGAGAAUCUGGUGCCUGCCCACAGGAGCAGAGGUCCUGUGUCCCACCUCCCCUCCACCUGCUGAAACGUCACUGGCACCCAGCAGGUCCCCGGCCUGCCGGUGAAAAGCUCCACUGCCCUCCCGCGGUGAGGCUGGCUCCAGCACCAGCUGCUGUACUAUCUCAAGACCUCAGUCCAGCUGCAUCACUGCAGUGCCAGGGCCAGCUCCAGAGAGGCCCAGCAAAAACAAGAUUUUGAAAUUAGCUCAUCAGUUUCCACAAAGAGAUUUCUGCUGAGGCAUUUUAUAGAGACUGUACUGAAUCUAUAAGUCAAAUUGAGGGAGAACUGACAUUUUAACAUUGUACCAAGGGAAAAGACACCGUAACCUAAAAAGGAAAAAGUGAUAAGCCGGGAAGAAAUAUUUGCAACUUAUAUCCCAGGCAAAGGGCCUAACUGCCUCUAUAAAUAAAGAGACCCUAGAACAUAGGAUCAAGACAAACUUCACGGAGGAAGCUAGGAAUGGAUUUCCUCAGAUGCCCACUGUAAAGAUGGCAAAACUGAGGACCUGUGAGGGGAAUGGUUGCACCGGGGUCGCAUGGAGCAUGAGCGUUCAGACCAAGGAGCCCGCGUCCCCUCCAGCCCCACCUAAACUGGUCUUGACUGGCUGACGAGGACAUGGUUCCACCUGCCGAUGCCGGCAGCUGCCCCGGCUGGGCUGGGACACACCCCUGUGACCGCUCUCCUCAUGACGCCCUGGUCUGGUCAGCUCCACGUGAGCCGGGGCCGCGCUGCUCCUUUGCUCUGCUCCCAAGUCUCUGGAACGGUGCCCAGCACACAAAGCCACUUACAUAUGUAUUCAGUCAGUGUGAUGCUCUCAACAGUCCCAGGAGGUAGUGCCGUUCUUUUACAGAUGUGAAGCCUGACACACAAAGAAGCCCUGGGUUGGUGGACGGACUCAUUCACGUAUUCAUGCGUACCGCUCCUUGGCGUGUGCAGGCACCUGCCGUAUAAAUGUGAACCCUGGACACCUUCCUUGACCUCAGAGCUCACAGCCUAACAGGCGGGACAGCAUCUAACCCACAGCUUGCCAGCGGGAGACACAAAGCUACAGCCACUCCCAGCCCAAGGUCUCGCAUAGCUGGGAAGAUAUGUCUGUCUGGCCCCAGCUACACAGCUAGACUGAGGACCAGCUACAGAACUAGAGACGCCUCCAGCCUGAACACUUGGACCAGCUUAGGAGUUACAGCAGCUCCGGUUCUAGAUCCAGGCCGAAAGUGAGGCUCAUCCUCAGUUUCCUCACCCACUGUGGUCCUGGGGCCGGAAUGAGAGGCAGCCACAGAGUGAGAGCUCCUGUACCAGCUCUGGCACCAGAUCCUGUGCCGGUGCCCAGCCCGAGCCAGGUGCAUCUCUAGCUUCUGCCGCUGCAGUGGCUCCGGCGUCCCCGUCAGCAUCAGCUUCAGUACCAGAGCUUCUUCCCUUCCCUUGUGAUGACAGCUUUUUUUUUUUUUUUUUUUUCAAAUGUUUUCUAUUUCGUAUAGUUUAAUGGCUUAUUAGAUUUUAUGUUUUAAAAUUUACAUAGUGAAAAUUUACCUUUUAAUCAUUUUAAAUUAUACAAUUCGAUGGCAUUAAGCAAAUUCAGUAUGCUGUGCACCCAUCCCCAUGAUCUAUUUCUAGAAUGUUUUUAGCACACCAGACAGAGAUCCUGUGUGCAGUACUGCAGAGGCCCGGACUCUGCCAGCACCCAGGCCUGCUCUAGCUCUGAGAGAUCACAGAAGCUCGGUUCCCAAGCCAGGGAUAUUGGCUCUUUCUGUGGGUGCAGAGUGGGGACCCUGGCAGCAGGGAGGGUCCCGAACCCCAUGUCCCCCCACCCGCCUGCCAUCCACUCAUCUCCUGUUUCUAAGCAUUUCCUUCUCCCUGGCCUGUCGCCCCUCCUGAGCACAGCUGGCCUUUCCCCUGCCCUUCCCGGACCAGAGCUAAUGAUCCCUGACAACACCAACCUGUUCUACAAAAUGGGCCCUUCAGGACUUUGUCCUGAAGACGUGGACUUUCACCUUGGGGACGCAGGCCAGGCCUGGAGCUAGGGACUCGAGAUUGCCAAGGGCUCCUUCUAAUCGGUCCCCGGCGCCGACCAGCACAAGGCCACGUCCCCCAGGGUCUUUCUAGUCAGGCAGCUAAGCAUUUACACACCACAGAGUCCCAGACCAGGUGGGCAUCUUCCCCCAAACCUGCCAGCCCAGGCCACCCCAGGAGCCCUGAUUCAUCCUGAAACUCUCCUGCUGCAGCCACAAUGCCCUCCAGCGGGCUGGCCCAGCCUCCCCUUGUCCACGCGCAUCCUUAGGUGUCUUAGAAGCCGAGCUGACGCUUGCCAAGGAGUGUGGGCAGUGGGCAAGGCGUCCUACCCACCUCAGGGCACUGCCCUCCACACGCUUCCUCACAGCUUCCCAAGUCCAGGUCUGAGCCACCUGUGCCCCCAGCGUGGCUCACCACCCAGCCACAGGGACACCAACACGGAGCCCAGAGCCACUCCUUAGUCCUGGUCCUUGGACCAGCUCAGCUGUGUCCUCUCCUUCAACAGGGAUGGUGCCCAUGUGUUCCUCACGCACUCGGUCAGCUUCUCGGACUCUGAAGCAAGAAGAUCAAGGUGAGCAUUUUUCUGGGGUUCCCGUGGACCAGGAUGCGAGGUUCCUGCCUCGCUCUGUUUUCCCUGUAGCUCUCAUCCUCCCCAGCCCCUCCCUCCCUGGUGCCAGAUUUCCCGCUCUGCACCCACAGAAAGAGCCAAGUAUCCCCGGCUCCUGGACAAAGUUUCUAGAAUCCUCCAGAGCUAGAAGCAGGCCUGGGUGCUUGGUAGAGUCUGGGCGUGCGGUGCUCUUGCUGCCCCUGCUGUGCCGGGUCAAAUCCCCAUCAUCCUGGGUCAUCUAACCAGACGUCAGCCUCCAUCCUUCUCAGCUUCCACCACACCCGUGGCCACCUUGUCAGCCUGGAUGUGGACAACAGCAAGAUGUACAUGGCAGCCUGGGGGUGGGUGGGCUGUGCCUGUGUCCCCUCGCUCAGACCUCUCUGAGUGCAGACCUCUCCUGAGGGGCUGCUUAGAAAAGUAGCCAGCUCUGGGUUUCCAGGCAUCAUGUGCCUCCCUGGGAGGAGGCAGACGGCCAGCAUCUGGAGCUCAGCCAGCUCCAAAACCAAUGCAGAGUUAGAGCCAGAGCCAGACACAGAGAUCGAACUGGCAUCAGACUCAAGGAAGAGCUAGUCACAGCACUGGUUCUAACAUCAGUUACAAAGCACCAUGUCCUGCACCAGCUCCAGAGCUAGGAACAGCUCCAACAUCGGCUCCUGCACCACUGCCAGAAGGAGAACUGGCUCCAGUAGGAGCUCUAACACCAACUCCAGAGUUAGAGGCCGCUUUGUCACCGUCUCCUAUGCCAGUUCCAACCAUAGCCAUAUCUCCAUCUCUAGAUCUAGAAGCAGCCCCCAGCAGAUUCCAGAAUUAGAGCAGUGCCAGGUCAGAACAGGAACCAGCACCAGUUUCAGAGGAAGAGUCAGGUCCAGAACCAGCUCUAGCAUCAGUUCGAAGCUGUGCCAGCUCCAGAGCUAAUACCAGUUGCAACAACAGCUUUAGCUCCAACAUCAACUAGAAAAGCUCAAGCACCACCACUACCAGCAACGCCAGAGGGUUGUCGUCAACGGGGGCGCCGCCCCCAGCACCAGCUCUGGAGCUGUAACCUGCGCCAACACCAAUUGCAGAGAUAGAGCCAGACCCAGCUCCAGAACCAGCUGGAGCACCGACACUGCACCUAGAGCCAGCUCUGCCGCCUGCUCCAGAGCUAGGGCUGCUGUAGCCUCCGCGGCCAGAGUCAACGAAUGUGCCAGAUCCAACCCCAGCUCCAGAACCACAGCCAGAUUUGGUGCCACAUCAGUGCCAGCUCAUUGGCAGCAGCUCCAGAAACAGAGCCUUCCCGUCCCUAGUCUGGGAGGGUAUCCUUUUUAUAUUUUUGUAGCUUUUACGUCUUUUUGUUUUUCCGUAUACUGUAUGGUUACC